UACGUAGGGUGCGAGCGUUGUCCGGAAUUAUUGGGCGUAAAGAGCUUGUAGGCGGUUUGUCGCGUCUGCUGUGAAAAUCCGGGGCUCAACCCCGGACUUGCAGUGGGUACGGGCAGACUAGAGUGUGGUAGGGGAGACUGGAAUUCCUGGUGUAGCGGUGAAAUGCGCAGAUAUCAGGAGGAACACCGAUGGCGAAGGCAGGUCUCUGGGCCACUACUGACGCUGAGAAGCGAAAGCAUGGGGAGCGAUCCGG
Molecule: ribosomal RNA, 253 nt
Filed under: uncultured bacterium
Lineage: Bacteria
Description: partial 16S ribosomal RNA
Rfam family: Bacterial small subunit ribosomal RNA
Source: RNAcentral